Molecule: ribosomal RNA, 425 nt
Filed under: uncultured fungus
Lineage: Eukaryota; Fungi
Description: eukaryotic LSU rRNA
Rfam family: Eukaryotic large subunit ribosomal RNA
Source: RNAcentral
GAUCUCAAAUCAAGUAAGACUACCCGCUGAACUUAAGCAUAUCAAUAAGCGGAGGAAAAGAAACUAACAAGGAUUCCCCUAGUAACGGCGAGUGAAGCGGGAUGAGCUCAAAUUUAAAAUCUGACUGGUUUACUAGUCCGAGUUGUAGUUUAAAGAAGCGUUUUCGGUGGCAGUCUCGGUAUAAAUCCUUUGGAAUAGGGUAUCAUAGAGGGUGAGAAUCCCGUCUCUGACUGAGAAUAUGCUACUAUGUGAUACGUUUUCAAAGAGUCGAGUUGUUUGGGAAUGCAGCUCAAAAUGGGUGGUAAAUUUCAUCUAAGGCUAAAUAUUGGCGAGAGACCGAUAGCGAACAAGUACCGUGAGGGAAAGAUGAAAAGAACUUUGAAAAGAGAGUUAAACAGUGCGUGAAAUUGUUAAAAGGGAAACGC